RNAcentral lists this ribosomal RNA (433 nucleotides) under uncultured bacterium. RNAcentral's name for it is "bacterial SSU rRNA". It matches the Rfam family "Bacterial small subunit ribosomal RNA", at positions 340 to 786 of the family's 1533-position model. The record is from RNAcentral.
UACGGGAGGCAGCAGUGGGGAAUCUUGCACAAUGGAGGAAACUCUGAUGCAGCGACGCCGCGUGAGCGAUGAAGCCCUUCGGGGUGUAAAGCUCUUUCGGCAGGAACGAUAAUGACGGUACCUGCAGAAGAAGCUGCGGCUAACUACGUGCCAGCAGCCGCGGUAAUACGUAGGCAGCAAGCGUUGUUCGGAAUUACUGGGCGUAAAGAGUGUGUAGGUGGUGUCGUAAAGUUUUGGUGUGAAAUCUCCCGGCUUAACUGGGAGGGUGCGCCGAAGACUGCGAUGCUGGAGUAUGGGAGAGGAAAGCGGAAUUCCUGGUGUAGCGGUGAAAUGCGUAGAUAUCAGGAGGAACACCUGCGGUGUAGACGGCUUUUCUGGACCAUUACUGACACUGAGACACGAAAGCGUGGGUAGCAAACAGGGAUUAGAUACC